This is a long non-coding RNA of Peromyscus leucopus (white-footed mouse), 5055 nucleotides long. RefSeq lists it as uncharacterized. The transcript has 2 exons. Lineage: Eukaryota; Metazoa; Chordata; Mammalia; Rodentia; Cricetidae. The record is from RefSeq and is a predicted model, not a curated record.
UCUGGCUCUUGGUGGCCCCAAGCCAAGCCUGAGGUGACUUCAGGGUGACACCGUCUGUCUGCCUCUCUCUUUCUCCAGACAUCCGCCCAGCCCUGAAAGGGCCACCUGCCUGCCUAGGUCUUCAGCGCACCUGUCCUGGCCAGCCUGGCUCCUCCUCCAGGCACCCUGCCCGUGGGCAGACACUGCCGGACUGGGGCAAAGCUGAGAGCCGGCAGCUGGCAGAUGGCAGGGCGUCAGCUGACUGCUCACUCCCUGGUGACCUGUUCAGGAUCGCCAUUCAUGUGCACUGCCCGCCCGCCCUCCCCCAGCCUCGCCUCACUGGGUCCCUCUGGUUUGUUUCAGGACCCCUUCCCUGUUACCCCUUGAGAAAGGAGGCAUUUUAUGUGGGUCCCAGCGCCCCCAGGGCUGAGGCCAGUGGUCAAGGCCUAGCUGUUGUACAGGUAAGCCUGGCACAGCCAGACACCCCGCAAGUAUGGAACUGGGCCUUUUCCUCACUCACUCACAAAUGGCUCUGGAGUCCAGACCAAGAAAGGGUGGCCCUUCCUGAAGUCUUGUGGAACCAGUGUAAGCCCCCGGUGUAGGGCAGAGCUGCCUAAGAACUGAGGAGACCAUGGUAGUAGCCAUGCCUGCCGCCAGAGCAUGGAGAGACACCUGAGAGAAAUGGACCCAAGACGGGCACCUGUGGGUCAGCCUCACUAGACUCGAACCCUGGGCAGAGUGAGGCCCCCUGGAGAGCAGGAGCCUUGUGGAAAGAAACAGGAAGAACAGGUCAGCGGUUCCUGGCAGAGGGACAGACCAGGGCAAAAGGCAGGAGGUGGGGAGGGCCUGGGAGAUGGCCAAGGAGGGCAGAGGAGGCUUGCCCAGGGCAUUUUGCUGCUUUGUGGGUUGGGGGAGGGGCCGAUGGGCACAGUGGGAAGGAUCAGAGAAAGAGUGUCUGUGUGAUGGAUAGCUUGGCUGUCUGAGGGUGCGGGCAAGGCUGGUGGUAGUCAGGGAGAGGGCUUUCCCACCCCUGUGUCCUCACCAGACCCUCAAUAACCAAUGGCCUCAUCUUCCUUUCCUUGAGCUGUGAGGGAAUAACAAGGCUUCUAACAAACCACCCUGGCUUGAUGGACAGAACCGGGCAGAUCCCAAGCAGGGCUCGUCUCUGUUUUCCGCACCCUAGGCUCGGCUCCAGAGCCCUGCGGCCGGCCAGGCCGCUUCUCACUGCCACCAUGUCCCUGCUUGGCCUUCCAUCUUUCUGCUGGCUCUGCUGUGAUGCCUUGGCCAGAGUGGGUCCAAAGGAGGCAGGUCAGGAGGUGGUGGUACCAAGCAGGAGCUUCUGUGUGCAGCUGACUCCCCUGUGGUGAGUGGGACCCCGCUGUCCUUCCUUGGAAAAUAGGGGGCCAUGGGAGACCUCAGAGUGAGAAAGGAUAGGGUCAGAAUCACAUCACUGACGUUGCUCCAGCACCUCAGCUUAGAUGUCUUUGCCUGGAGGCCUGUACUCCCCCACACACACGCACCCCAGGACUGUGCCUCCCACCAGCAGACUGCCCCCAGAUGAUUCAUCUCAUCUACCCAUAAUGCACUGCGAUAUGAUGCUCUUUGACCCCCUCUCAGCCGACCCAGGCUGGACAUGGUUUAACAGAGCUCCAGUUCCAUUCAUUACUGCCUCUGAGUGGAAGAGGAGCAGCCUCCCUACCCUGAAGAGACACUGUCCGGAGGCUCACACCCUUCAGGUCACCCAGCCUUGAGAGCUCUCUGGGGACUUCAAAGGCAGCUCUUUUCUCUCUGUCCCCCACCGCCAUCACGCAGCCCUCCAGUGUGGUGCUAAUACCCGCCCCCCCCCAUACCACCCAGCGUUGAUGGAGGACGUACCAGAAGUGCCGUGCCUGGAGUAAGAAGAAAGGCCAGAUGAGGGGAACAGGAUCACUUCUGUCCCCAGGUUGGGCUAAGGCACAGGGGGUGCCUGAGUCAUGGCCAAGGAGGGACCAGGAUGCUUGCCUCCCAUUAUGUCUCUCCCACAGCUUCGGCUCUGCAUGGCUUGGGUCGCAGUGAAGCCCAAAACCUCGGGGAGGGUAGGCAGGGACAGGUGCAGGACAGGCCCUUUGGGGGCCGUCACAAUGGCACACCAGCCCCCUGCUGAUUCCUAACUCGAGUGGCCAAGGAGCUGCUGAGAAUCCCCAAGGGCCAGCUAAAGGGACCCCACAGAAAUGCAGGGUGUGCGUAGGAUCGCCCAGGGAAAAGAGACAGCCAAGACCUUCCAGGGAGUCCUGCUCACCAUACUGUGUCCUGCCCGCUAGGGGCAGAACCCCAAGUGUUGAGAGGCCCCUGUCAAGGUGUGCCUUCUUCAAGGUGCUUCUGAGGGGCUCAGAUGGGGAUGGCCAAAGUGGCCUUUAGUCAUUCUCCCACAGCCAGGUGCAUCCUGGGAACUGACAAGGUUAACUGUGGCCAGGCAGUGACACUCCUCUACCUUCCCACCUGGUCCGUUCAUCAUAGACAGAACAUGAGGCGGGUGCCUGAACCACACUCUCUUCCCAUAGGCCUUCCUGCCUUGCUGGCUCUGCUUGGACCAUCCUUGGGGAUAUUCGACCUGUCUGUUAGUGAAGGGGUCCAGGCUUGAGGCAGGGGAUGGCACACCAGUGGCUCACAUAGAUGUCCUCUGGGACUGAACAGUGCCUGCCCACCGAGGGCCGGGCCACACUAGCACUCGGGGGGCCUUGUUCCCAAGCCACUCUGCCUCAUAGACUCCAGGUCUGGGUACACAGUGUGGACUUCAACCUCAUGGCUCCAUUUUGACCCAGGGUCCUCGGACUUGCUCCUGUGACCCUUGGCAGGGAGGGAGGGAGGUGUGGCAUCACACAGAGAGCAAAAGCUGCCAGGCUUCCUGGGACCGGGUAGAGAGCUUCCCUCUGCAUUGCCGGGCAGACCUGUCUGAGGCCUGUAAGCAGCAGCCAUUUUCCCUCUGAAGGCAGAGCCACCUGGGACUAGAAGCUCGGCCUUCUGAGCCUCAGUAUCUUCACAGUGACCCCACCUCACAGCUGGAGGGUUAGAUGACUGCCCAGCCGGGUGCCUGCCUAGAAAAACUGUGGAAGGAGGGCCUGUAAUGGAGUCUCCAAGUCUAUGUUGGAACCAGAGAGCAGAGAGCUCCAGGACCAUCUUACAAGGUGGGAAGAAUGCUCCAACGCACCGUUACUGCUCCGCUGGAGAGGCUAGAAGCCUUGGUUAUAAAUAAGAUAGGCUUAAAUACGCUGGCCCAAGGUUUCCCCGGCAAGCUAGUGGCUGUGGGCAGUGUGGACAGGCUGACUGUUGCCCCAGAGUGGAUCUUACCUGUCCCACUACACAGUGAGCAGUAUGGGCCACACCAGGCUGCCUGGCCUGACCAGGGCGUCCUCCCUGCUGGGCUCUGUCCAAGGCUCUGGGAGCCCCAAGCUCAGAGGCCAAGCCCAGAGCCCCUGCGGGCUUCAGGAAGUGCUAGUCGCCAAGGACAGACUGGCCAUCAGUGUCCAGCCAGGGUCUGCACUUCCGCCCAGCUGGCCGCCAUGGGGAGCUAGGCUGCCUCCCACAAGGAAAAAAAAAUGGUUUUGAGCCUUCUGCAGCAAGGUCACUUGAGGCCACCCUGAGCGGGGAGGCAGGGACAGACCCAGAGCCCUCAAGGAGGGGCUCUUCCUGUGUAAGAGGAGGAGGGUACAUGCCCAAGGCCUCUUCAUGGCCGGAGUUCUGGUGCCUUCAGCUCUGUGGGUGCUACAGCUGAGUGUACAGAGCCUGGGUCUCAGCCAGGUGGGCACUGGAAGCCCCCUGGACCUGGCUGGCCUUUGACAAGUGACCAUCCUUCCCCCAUGGUGGCCAUUCCUGCCUAGUGACUGACUGGUCAGCUUUUCCUCUCUCCUUCCCCACCCCACCCCCACCCCCUCACUUCCUUCAUUCUCUCUGCUUGGUGAUUUUAAGUGUCCUGGCCCACUUUGGGGGGAAUCCCAGUCUGCCGCUGGGCUGAUACCCUCAGCACCGAGCUGGCCAUGUUGGGCCCCUCACCAUAUUCCCAGCUCUCCUUCUUCCUCCAGGAGGUAUCUCGAGACGCCGGUAACAUCCAGCUCUGCACUGACCAAGACUGACCGACGGCCUUUGGGGUGAGGUAGUAGGUUGUAUGGUUUUGGGCUCUGCCCCGCUCAGCGGUAACUAUACAAUCUACUGUCUUUCCUGAAGUGGCCGCAAUAUCUGCAGUGGAUCCGCCAGCCCUGCCUUGGGAGGCUGAGGGAGGCACAGGGGUGGUAGCUGCCGUGCACAAAGCAAGUCCAACAGGGGGGACCUUGGACAGUCCCUUGACCUCUGGUCUGUUACUCAUCUGCAAGCGUUGGGGCAUCGGGGUGAAAGCAGACAUGUAGCGUUUCCAGGCACCUCCUCUCCCUUGACCACACAGAAGGGCUUUCCUUCCCCUGACCUCGUCACAUUAGGCCUGGGCUCACAGCCCUCCCCGAGGAAAGGGUCUGGGCUGGACCUUCACCUCUGUUCCAGAGUUGCUACACACUCCACACGUGGCAUAUGCCCAGGCUUUCCAGCUCAGGGUCAGGUCUCCGAGACAUAGAGACGGGGCAUCUUUUCCAUGAAGGAAAUGAGAGGGGGGUUCUCAGCAUGGCUGGGUACCCCGUGAGCACAACCACGCAACUGGACUGGGUAGGCCACUGUCCCCCGGGGUGAUGGGUUCAGACACUGGAGGCUUCCCUCACCCGUCUGGUGGGUACAGGUCUCUCUGAACCACUUUCUUCACUCCCCCCCUCCUGCCCUGUGCCAGCUGUGCCCUAGGGCUCUGGUGGCCUGUGGCCAGGGUGGGUGGGGAGGGGCUGGGCCUCCUCCAGAACAUGGACCCCGCAGGGUGAGGUAGUAGGUUGUGUGGUUUCAGGGCAGUGAUGUUGCCCCUUAGAAGAUAACUAUACAACCUACUGCCUUCCUUGAGGAGCCCAGGAACACAGCUGUACGGAGGCCCCCGCCCAGCGAGCCACGUGGAGAGCCUGUGCCACAGAUGGGGUGGGGGCGGCAGUGUGGGGGCUGGGUCAAAAUAAAGGCUGCGGUGACAUGAAUUUA